CCUACGGGAGGCAGCAGUGAGGAAUAUUGCGCAAUGGGGGCAACCCUGACGCAGCGACGCCGCGUGGAUGAUGAAGGCCUUCGGGUCGUAAAAUCCUGUCAGGUGGAAAGAAAUGUAUAUGUGCUAAUACCAUGUAUACUUGACGGUACCACCGAAGGAAGCACCGGCUAACUCCGUGCCAGCAGCCGCGGUAAUA
This 196-nucleotide ribosomal RNA is filed under the name uncultured Desulforhopalus sp. Its description in RNAcentral is "partial 16S ribosomal RNA". It matches the Rfam family "Bacterial small subunit ribosomal RNA", at positions 338 to 525 of the family's 1533-position model. The record is from RNAcentral. Lineage: Bacteria; Pseudomonadati; Thermodesulfobacteriota; Desulfobulbia; Desulfobulbales; Desulfocapsaceae.